UACGGAAGGCAGCAGUAGGGAAUAUUGCACAAUGGGCGAAAGCCUGAUGCAGCUAUGCCGCGUGUAUGAAGAAGGCCUUAGGGUUGUAAAGUACUUUCAUCGGGGAGGAAAAAACAAAACUAAUAAUUUUAUUUCUUGACGUUACCCGAAAAAGAAGCACCGGCUAACUCCGUGCCAGCAGCCGCGGUAAUACGGAGGGUGCUAGCGUUAAUCAGAAUUACUGGGCGUAAAGAGCACGUAGGUGGUUUUUUUAAGUCAGAUGUGAAAUCCCUGGGCUUAACCUAGGAACUGCAUUUUGAAACUGAAAUACUAGAGUAUCGUAGAGGGAGGUAGAAUUCUAGGUGUAGCGGUGAAAUGCGUAGAUAUCUGGAGGAAUACCUGUGGCGAAAGCGGCCUCCUAAACGAAUACUGACACUGAGGUGCGAAAGCGUGGGGAGCAAACAGGGAUUAGAUACC
This 456-nucleotide ribosomal RNA is filed under the name uncultured bacterium. RNAcentral's name for it is "bacterial SSU rRNA". It matches the Rfam family "Bacterial small subunit ribosomal RNA", at positions 340 to 786 of the family's 1533-position model. The record is from RNAcentral.